This 69-nucleotide transfer RNA is filed under the name Lasius niger. It matches the Rfam family "tRNA". Rfam says of the family: Transfer RNA (tRNA) molecules are approximately 80 nucleotides in length. Their secondary structure includes four short double-helical elements and three loops (D, anti-codon, and T loops). Lineage: Eukaryota; Metazoa; Arthropoda; Insecta; Hymenoptera; Formicidae. The record is from Rfam by way of RNAcentral.
GUCUCGUUCGUCUAGAGGCCUAGGACACCGCCCUUUCACGGCGGCAACACGGGUUCGAAUCCCGUACGA